AUAAAUCGAAUAUAUGUCGGAAAUUCACACGAAGAAGGUUUAUUGUCCUCUGUUCCUUUUUUCACGAGUUAUACAUGAGAGCUGUAGACAGCUGCAAAAUAAAACUUCGGAUAGGAACAUUUGAUUACUUCGGGGCGGGUGUUUCACCGGAAGAUAUUUUCGGUGUACCCUUUACAGACGCCAAUUCCUUCUCACGUCAACCGCUCCAUGUGAGCACGGAUUUUAUGGUAUUUGGUCCACAAAAUCACUGUUUGUAUCCAGUCAUUCUCGUUAACAAUACCAUGGAUAUUAUUGAAGAUGACGAGCAGUUAGGUGAGACGUCUGAGCAGGACAGCGAAUUAUCUGACGGAGAGCUUCAAGAUGCAUUCGCAAAGGGAUUGUUAAAGCCUGGGUUGAACUUUACAACACAAGAACCGAAGAAGAUUGUCAACAAUGUGGAGGGUUUGAAACAAUGCCUCGCUGACUUUCGUAAGAACACACUACCCUGGAUAGAGAGGCUGGACAUGGUCAAUCUCCCCGCUGAUGACAUCGUUGCCAAGUCCGAGGGCAGACUCGACAACAAGGCCAGCGAAGACAUCAACCCAGAUGACGACUUCCAGAGAGAGAUGUUCUUUUACCGUCAAGCCCAAGAAGCUGUUCUGGAAGCGAUGCCCCGGCUACUGAAGCUGAAGAUAGCCACCAAGAGACCUGAGGACUACUUUGCAGAGAUGGCCAAGUCAGACCAGCAAAUGCAGAAGAUCAGGAAGAAACUCAUCACGAAGCAGAUCAUGAUGGGGAAGUCGGAAAAGGCCAAGAAACUAAGAGAACAGAGGAAGUAUGGCAAGAAGGUACAAGUAGAGGUUAUUCAGAAGAGACAGAGGGAGAAGAAGGCCAUGAUGUCUUCAGUGAAGAGGUAUCAAAAAGGCAUGACUGACAAACUGGACUUCCUGGAAGGAGAUCAGAAGACUGCUAAAGGAGGCGCUCCAGCUAAAGGAGGUGCAGGGAAAGGGGCCGGUGGCCAAACACCUGAUAAAAAGGCCAUGAACAAGAAAGGGCCCAAUGCUAAGAGGAAGUAUAAAGACCAGAGGUUUGGCUUUGGCGGGAAGAAGAGUGGAACCAAGUGGAACACCAAGGACAGCCACAACGAUGUGUCAGGGUUCCGAGCCAAGGUGGCUCAUGGGAAAGGAGGAAAGGGAGGGAAAGGAGGCAAAGCAGGACCAGGCGGAAGGGGCCCCACCAAAGGAGGGGCUAAACGACCGGGCAAGAACGCACGCAAGAAGAUGAAGGGUCGCUCCUAAAGAGGUGUGUGUGUGUUGUCUUUGGUCUUUGCCACACUGCAUCCCAACUUCUGGAAGGAGAGUAUCACCAAGACUACAAGAUGUCCUUCCUAGAGUAUCACCAAGACUACAAGAUGUCCUUCCUAGAGUAUCACCAAGACUACAAGAUGUCCUUCCUAGAGUAUCACCAAGACUACAAGAUGUCCUUCCUAGAGUAUCACCAAGACUACAAGAUGUCCUUCCUAGAGUAUCACCAAGACUACAAGAUGUCCUUCCUAGAGUAUCACCAAGACUACAAGAUGUCCUUCCUAGAGUAUCACCAAGACUACAAGAUGUCCUUCCUAGAGUAUCACCAAGACUACAAGAUGUCCUUCCUAGAGUAUCACCAAGACUACAAGAUGUCCUUCCUAGAGUAUCACCAAGACUACAAGAUGUCCUUCCUAGAGUAUCACCAAGACUACAAGAUGUCCUUCCUAUUGUAUCACCAAGACGACAAGCUUUAGAAUGUCUCCAUAUGAAAACCAGACAGAGCGGUACUAAACAUGCCAAAUUCAAUGUUUUUUUUAAAUGGUUUAAACCUCUAACAUGAAUAUGGACAUCAACGGUACAAUGACAUUUUAUUAUCGGCAGUAAAAUAAAUCCAUGUAUCUUUUAAAGGAGAUCUUUAUACUUUGUUGUAGGGCGUCUACGUUUGUGAAACUAUUUCCACAAAUGUAUGUCAUCUAGUUUGAGUAAAUACUUGAUAGAUUUUUGUAAAAUGCACACUUUGCAAGUCUGCUUAUUGACCCCCUGAUUCACUACCUUUAGGGAUGUGAUAUUUUCUAAUAUUGAACAGCUGUCGUGUUUGGCCUUUUCCAUGUAUCAAUAUUAUUAAUGUGUAGUGGGCCAAUGUAUUACUUUCUAUAGAUCUGGGUAAAUGUUUCUUCUGCAAACAGGUUGCAGGUAUGACAAUAGUUGGUACAUUUUGGGCAAGAACCCCUUCUCUAGCCUGAGUGCCAGUCUGUGCUAUUAUACCAACUAAUUUCAUGCUGAGUUUUGCUUGACAAUGACUGAUGGAGAUGGCAAGAGCACAAACAGGGACCAGGCUACACCUGCAUCUGUUUAACUUGAAUGAAUGAUUAGUAUGCUGCUUCAUGUUUCUCAUGUGUGGUGUUUGUUAUAAACUGGGUGUUUCAAGCCUUGGAUGCUGAUUGACUGAAAGCCGUGGUAUACGGUCUGAUAUACCACGGGUGUGACUAUUUAUUUUCACUCUUCUAAUUAUGUUGGUAACCAGUUUAUAAUAGCAUUAAGGCACCUUGGGGGUUUGUGGUACAUGGUCAAUAUACCAUGGCUACAGGUUGUAUCCAGGCACUCUGCGUUGCACACAAGAACAGCCCUUAGCUGUGGUAUAUUGGCCAUAUACCACACCCCCUUGGGCCUUAUUGCUUAAUUACAGUAGGUCUGCCUGCAACCAGUUACAUUGUAUUUCCUUUGGACAGUAAAGUAUUAUUCUUCAUA
Oncorhynchus mykiss (rainbow trout) is the source of this 2753-nucleotide non-coding RNA. The record is from RefSeq and is a predicted model, not a curated record. NCBI's taxonomy places the organism in Eukaryota, Metazoa, Chordata, Actinopteri, Salmoniformes, Salmonidae.